Molecule: long non-coding RNA, 250 nt
Organism: Corvus hawaiiensis (hawaiian crow)
Lineage: Eukaryota; Metazoa; Chordata; Aves; Passeriformes; Corvidae
Exons: 3
Source: RefSeq, a predicted model, not a curated record
UGGAGACACCAGGCACGUCAUCAAAGAAGCAGCCAAGAAGAGCUGCUUCAUUUGCUACAAGAUGGGGGCCAGCAUCACCUGCUGUGAGACGGGCUGCGACCGCACCUUCCACCUGCCCUGCGCCCCAGACGGCGAAUGUGUCACCCAGUACUUCGGGGCCUACAGGUCCUUCUGCUGGGAGCACCGCCCACAGCAGGCAGUGCACGCUCGUCCAAGCCAGGACAACACCUGCAGCAUCUGCCUGGACACC